GGGUAAUUGGCUCGAUGGAAGUGCGCUUCGUUCACAUCGAGGAUGUCAGGAGUUCAAAUCUGUUAUCACCCA
This 72-nucleotide transfer RNA is filed under the name Sulfitobacter noctilucicola. It matches the Rfam family "tRNA". From Rfam's summary of the family: Transfer RNA (tRNA) molecules are approximately 80 nucleotides in length. Lineage: Bacteria; Pseudomonadati; Pseudomonadota; Alphaproteobacteria; Rhodobacterales; Roseobacteraceae. The record is from Rfam by way of RNAcentral.